CCUACGGGGGGCUGCAGUGGGGAAUUUUGGACAAUGGGGGAAACCCUGAUCCAGCCAUCCCGCGUGUAUGAUGAAGGCCUUCGGGUUGUAAAGUACUUUUGGCAGAGAAGAAAAGGUAUCCCCUAAUACGGGAUACUGCUGACGGUAUCUGCAGAAUAAGCACCGGCUAACUACGUGCCAGCAGCCGCGGUAAUACGUAGGGUGCAAGCGUUAAUCGGAAUUACUGGGCGUAAAGCGUGUGUAGGCGGUUCGGAAAGAAAGAUGUGAAAUCCCAG
This 275-nucleotide ribosomal RNA is filed under the name uncultured Alcaligenes sp. Its description in RNAcentral is "partial 16S ribosomal RNA". It matches the Rfam family "Bacterial small subunit ribosomal RNA", at positions 338 to 605 of the family's 1533-position model. Lineage: Bacteria; Pseudomonadati; Pseudomonadota; Betaproteobacteria; Burkholderiales; Alcaligenaceae. The record is from RNAcentral.